UAGCUCAGUCGGCAGAGCACCUGUCUGGCAACCGUGAGGUCGACGGUUCGAGUCCGUC
Molecule: transfer RNA, 58 nt
Filed under: Clonorchis sinensis
Lineage: Eukaryota; Metazoa; Platyhelminthes; Trematoda; Opisthorchiida; Opisthorchiidae
Rfam family: tRNA
About the family: Transfer RNA (tRNA) molecules are approximately 80 nucleotides in length. Their secondary structure includes four short double-helical elements and three loops (D, anti-codon, and T loops). Further hydrogen bonds mediate the characteristic L-shaped molecular structure. tRNAs have two regions of fundamental functional importance: the anti-codon, which is responsible for specific mRNA codon recognition, and the 3' end, to which the tRNAs corresponding amino acid is attached (by aminoacyl-tRNA synthetases). tRNAs cope with the degeneracy of the genetic code in two manners: having more than one tRNA (with a specific anti-codon) for a particular amino acid; and 'wobble' base-pairing, i.e. permitting non-standard base-pairing at the 3rd anti-codon position.
Source: Rfam by way of RNAcentral